GAGGUGGUUAUCGGUGGUUGUUGGAGGUGGUUGGCGGUGGUUGGCAGUGGUUGGAGGUGAACGAGGAGGAGAACGAGGAAGACGAGGAAACCAAGGUGGACGAGGAUGAUGAGGAUUUGUGCACUGUAUAACACGAGGUGGUUAGCGGUCGUCGUUGGAGGUGGUUUGAGGUGGUUACGGGAUGGUUGCGGGUGAUCGAGGAUUCCAAGUAUUUGACAACAGUGAUACCUUAUCACAUGGACAAUGGCCCACCUCAUAAUCAAGCUUUACAAGUCCUCACUAGGAUAUUAAAGGCUAUUAAUCAGGAUAGUCCAACGGUGCCCACAUUAUUAACGGACUACAUAUUGAAAGUUCUGUGCCCCACCUACUGAUCCACUGGUACAUAUCCUCCGACGUGACAUCGCUCUACUACGUAUAUAGAAGAAAGGAUUUAUUAAGAUGCAAAUUGCUCCUCUCUUCUUGCCAUUGUGCUUUCAGCCAUUGUUGUGCUGUGUGUUUAAAAUUUAGGACAGUAUAUAAUAUAGAAUAACAGGUACAGUUACGAAUAUAGCACUACAAUAAAUCUUAGAGAAAUGAGCUCUCAUUGAGAUUUCUCUGUAUUUAUAACUCGACGCGAGAAGGCAAAAAUCAAUGUAAUGCCAUCUGUAAGGUAAUUUGACUCGUGUUUACACAACGAGAACUCGUUGGGCAUUUUGCGGUGAAAUUUGAAAAAUUGUUGUACAAGAAAUUAAAUAACU
Neodiprion fabricii is the source of this 737-nucleotide long non-coding RNA. RefSeq lists it as uncharacterized. The transcript has 5 exons. The record is from RefSeq and is a predicted model, not a curated record. Lineage: Eukaryota; Metazoa; Arthropoda; Insecta; Hymenoptera; Diprionidae.